Molecule: long non-coding RNA, 2204 nt
Organism: Oncorhynchus kisutch (coho salmon)
Lineage: Eukaryota; Metazoa; Chordata; Actinopteri; Salmoniformes; Salmonidae
Exons: 3
Source: RefSeq, a predicted model, not a curated record
GGGAAGGGCAUGUUAAAAUGAAAACAUGACAGCCAGACAAGCCUGUGUAUGAAUCAAACGGAUUUGCAUAUGAAUGGAGUGGAAAUUAGUUGACUUCGUGAUCUGUAAGAUGGAGCUGGAGUCCUACAUGGAGGUGAUGUGAGGGCUUCCAGCCCCAGGUCGGCACAAACUGUCCCAUUGGCAGCCUGCAUCCAUCUGCCUGGUGGGGUUAGAUCCAGACCCGCCUCUACCUUUGGAGCUAUCUGCACUGUAUGGAGCAUGGCCAAGCAUUGGAUUCACAGAGUGUUGCUCUAGGCAACCCAUUCCUCGCAGGACAAGGAUAUGAUGGAGAAGAGAACGGUUGAGAGGCGAUGGAGGGGAAGACGAGAAUGACAGAUCUUUUGCUAAACAGAACAUAAUAAUGGAGAAUGAAGCGCCUGUCAGAGAGGAUGGUCUUUCUCCUUCUUUACAGAUGAGGAUAUGUUAUCACAGGGCUUCUGUCUUCAUAUCACAGGCAGGAAAGAUGGUUGAGUCAGACAGAAAGUUAAGGGAUGCCAUGCUCUCAUUCUUCACCAGGGGGCGUUGUGCUGAAUGCUCACAGUGGAUAGUGGAAAAGUACCGUUAUCACCUCUCCAUUUCUCUCUCUCUCUUCAUUUCAUUCUGUUUCUCUUUGCGUUCUCUUUCUCUCUAUCUCUCCACCUUCCUCUGUUAAAAUAACUUCUCUUAAUAGCUGGUCUCUACUUUACUCUGCUCUGGCUUGGGUUAGCUUGUCAGCGGAGAGAUGAUCAAUUUGCACGCUAGAACAGGUAAUUAGGCCCUUUCACUUCUGGGGCAUGAGACAAGCUGUUAUCUCCCAGCACCUGAGCACCCUCCACACACCCCCAUCACCCUUCACCCUCCCCUAGCUCCCCUCAUCUCCCCCUGGUAAUACCCAGGGCCGUCAAGCUGCAUGUCACCAAAUUAGGCUCAUUCCUCCCACCGAGACACUUUAUAAAGGUCUAUGCCUUCAGUUAUAGCUACAGUUAUAUUCACCACUACCGUUACAGUACAUCCUCUUACAAGCUUUCAACCUCUCAUGUUCCCCAUUAUAGCACUAUAUACACUAUAUACAUGAGAAGAUAGGCCUAGGCCGUUCUCUCUUAGACCCCUUCAAAUACAAUUAGUUAUGUGAAUUACUUAAGAGGAAAGAAAUGACAGAGUAAAUUUUUUCUGUAUCUGAUGUUUGUAAGUGUUAUUUACCAUACCAGCCUUUGGAAUUAGCACUGCAUUAUGUCAGAGGUCUGAACAGCAAAUUCCCCAAGACAACCACACUCUCUACAGCAUCAAGCUAUUAAUUGUAUUUAUUUAUUUGCUUGCAUUCCUCGGCCCAUUUUCUCAUUAUGAUGGAGAGAGGCUCUAUAACUUGUGUUUUAAGGAGCAUUAUGUAUUGCCAGCAUCACAUACACACCUUCAUUAGUAUUCUAGUGUUAAUUCUGUUAACAGAGCACAAUGAUUAAAGGAUAUGUUUUUGUUUUUCACAACCAAAUCUCUGUUUUUUUAUGUAAAUAGCAUGUUAUUGAAGGGUACAAUUUGUGAAUUCACUUGUUUUUUUAAACUCACUUCCUGAUUCUGUUUUGUAGCAUGGGGCAUGUCAUGCCAAAUAGUGUCCCGCUCUGCGUCACAAUGGGAUUCGAUGACGGCUGUUGCCUUAGGGCUGUUGCUAGAACUUGCAACAUUCAGAUUACAUAAUGAACCAAAGUGUCCGUUGCUAUAUUGGUUGCUUGGCUCUAUUUUACCUCGUAAUGGUCACGAAGCAAGGAGGAUGCAGGCAGUUCUAGUUCUGUUUCACCGCAUACACGCUCGCUCAGUCCACGCAAAAUUAUUACAGAAGAAUUGCUCUCCAAGGAUGGUGUUUUUGACGGUGACCACCUGUUGACUACCUGAUGCUUCUGAUAUCCAAACGACUAGAAGAGAACACUUUCUUUACCAAGUAUUUGUCUUUAUAUAAGUAAAUAUUGUUAAAUAGGAAUAAAUCAUUUAAGCUGUUUUUAGAUUGAAGUUGCUAGCUACUGUACUUUAAAAAAAUAUAUAUAUUUUUUACCUUUAUUUAUCCAGGAAGGGCUCAUUGAGAUUUAAAAUAUCUUUUUCAAGAGUGUCCUGGUCAAGAUAGGCAGCACCAAGUCAUUACAAAGAUUACAGACAAACAACAUGAAAAACUACAAGUAAUCUAGUAAAAACCAUAGAAU